RNAcentral lists this long non-coding RNA (2807 nucleotides) under Malus domestica (apple). RNAcentral's name for it is "long non-coding RNA (MDOM_LNC002662)". The record is from RNAcentral. Lineage: Eukaryota; Viridiplantae; Streptophyta; Magnoliopsida; Rosales; Rosaceae.
UUGGACUCCUGAGGACACCACGAGCACGUUGAUACCAUUUUCAGGUAACCUUUCCUUCGGAAACCCUAGUUUUUAAACUCCCCGUGAAGGUGCACUGUUCAUGCACACGUAAAUCUUUAUGUUUUUGGGAAUUUGAAGCUUGUAGGAAGCUUGGUGAGGUCCUAAGGAAGCUCGGAGUGCUUCGUUUGGAAGAAUUGGACGUCGGGAUCACCUAGUUCGAGUUUGGCCGGUUUUCUUGGAUUUUUGGAAGGUACGAUUCCGUGAUUUUUAGUGCUUAAAACUAGUUUAACGUGAUAGUACUCACUUAGGGCUUCAAUUUGGUGUAAAGUACGAGAAAAAUGGACGAAAAACGAGUGAGAAUAGUGAAUUAGAAGUUUUUCCCAGUUUUCCGGUGACCGGAGUCCGGCGAGGGUAGGUCGGAGAAGAAGGGAGAAUAUUCCGUUAGUUUUAACGGAAUAUUCCUAACGGUAGUAACGGUAACCGUCGGUUUUAACGGAAUAUUCCGGGAAUAUUCCUGACGGCGUCAACUGACGCCGUCAGCAUGCCUUGCACGUGGCCGCGCGUGGGGGGCGCGUAGACCCGUGCCUAAUUCGGCGCAUGGGGGCGCGUGAGACCUCGAAAUUAUUUUAAAAAUAUUGUGAUGCUCGUGAGGUUGUGUAGAUCGCGUUAGUGUAUUCAUUUGUCAAAAUUGAGCAUCGUAUGAGGAAUUAAUUACCUAGUUUUGUUUAUGCGCUUUAAUUGACGUUUUUAUAGUUGUUUCGCAUAUAGGUGAGACGUAUCCCGAGGACGAGCGCAUCCAGGGACGCCACGGGGGUUACGACCCGUCGACUUAUCAGUGAGUGGGCAGUUUUGAUUUCGUAUUUACAUAUAUACAUUUAUUUUUCCUAGAAAAUACGUGUUUAUAUGAAAAUAUGAAUUAAUUGCUAUGCAUGAAAUUAUUGAGAUAUCUAGCUUGAGUAUUGAUGCAUAUAUAUGUGAAAUGAUGCAGUGGACGAUCAGGUGAGUUUAUUUAUUUUUCAGCUGAGUUAUUUAUAUUGAAUUGCAUUGAAAGCUCAUAACCUGCACCUAGGUGAUAGUGCUUAUAUUGUUAUUCACCACACCGUACGCUCGUCUUGGAUCCAAGUAGGUGGAUGUCGUACAGACCAUGUGAGGGUUCCGACAUGCCAGUCGUACAGACCAUUAGAGGGGUUCCGACUGGUGGGUGACCUUAGAUAUGCGCGCUGAUGAUUGAUGUGAGAAGCACUAGAGCGUAUUUAUACACCUGUCAUCGUACAGACUACCUUAUGUAGUUCCGAGUGACGUGCAGAGUUAGACCGUACAGGUCACCGAGGUGACUCCGGUUGGAUUGGAUGUUGAGCUUUAGAAUCAGCCGUACAUGACCAUUGUAGGGUCUCCGGUUGAUUUAUUAUUCACCUGACUAUUAUUGAUGCAUUCUGAUUAUAUUUUGACAUGGCAUAUCAUUUCUGAGAUAUUAUAAUGAUGGAUAUGUGCUGAGCUAUGUUGUGGCAUAGAUAUAUAUGUAUAUAUACUAUUUUCUGGGAAAGUAUACAGGUUUUACGGCGAGGGGAUAGAAUUGUUUUUAAUGAACUGUUUUGGAAAAACUAUUUGAUUUUACUGACCCACUCAUUUUGUUUUGCACCCCUCCAGGUUCUAGUUUAGCGGUUGGUGGCUCUCGAGGUCUUAUUCCGGCUUUCUGACAAACUCUCGACAUGUAGGACUCACCUGAGGGUGAUGUAUUUUUAUUUUAGUCCUACUUGACUGCAGUUAACCUAUGCUCUGAACUUAUGUGUUUACUUUAUAACUCGUCCGGUUAUGUUCGUAGGUGGUUAUACUUGAGUUUGGUUUGCAUUUCUGUUGAUUUAUGUUGUUGUUUCGCUUCCGUGUCGCACCUAUGGUUACGUCACGCCCGCGUGACGGCUAGCACACCUGGAUCCUCUGGAUCGGGGUGUGUCACAAAAUAAAGGAAUGAUUUAAGCCAAGUGUUGCAUUGGGUUAUAUCAAAAGAACUGUUUUUCAUUAUGGAAUCAGAACUUUCUUUUAAAGGACAAAGUAUAGGAUAUUUAUAAAGAUACUUGUAGGAUGAGCUAUUAACUCAUCUAAGGCAACAACUUAAUAUCACACUAACUAUAAAUAUAUGUAUAUCAUUCACAUUCGUGUGAGUCAAACAUGGAAACUUCUCCAACCAAGAUUGAGUUCGCUAUCAAUUCUUGUGUGCUUUUAUGAAGUCGAUAGAUAAGAGAGGGGAUAAUAUCUAAGACCAUCUCCAAAGGAGAUGUCAAAUAUGCCAAAUAGGAUUAAAAAACAUUCAAGUGUUCUCCAAUGGAUAUGUCAUAUAUGAUGUGACAUGUGAGUUAUUUGACUCCUUACUUUCUAGUUAACUUUUUUACAACAAACAAAGAAGGAAUCAAAUAUAUUUAAUUUAAUUUUUUAAUACAUGGAUCCCAUUAACAACCAAUAGAAUACAAACUAAAACUAAUUUUGAUUAUUUUUUAAUAGUUAAUGUAACUCUAGGCCCAAUAAAAUAAUAAAAUAAAUAUUUGACACAUCCAUUGGAAAAGAAUAAGAUUUAACAUUUGUAUUCAAUUUACCACAUCAGUCAUCAAAUAAAAUUUUAACAUAUUAUAUUUGAUAUAUCAUUUGAAGAUGCUUUAACUGUUUUAAUAUUAAGUUCUUGUACCUUUAAACAAUUGUCCCCCACCACUAAAGUCAAUAGUCAAUACAAUGCAAAAGUCUCCUUUCUUCGAGGUGUCGAUCAUUGUACAUUUAUAUGUAUUAUAUAUUUGUGUAUAUGUAUUAUACAUGCAUGG